CCAGAAGCAGAUGUGGGUAUUCUUACAAUAAAAGGUCCCAUAUUUCUGCUGAAAAAACCUCAAACAUUUUGCGGCACAAUUUCUGACCAUUGGUUUCAGCCAUUGAGAUGAGUCAUCCAUCUCAUACGCAGUGUACCCACAAAUAAAUUACCCCCCUUCUGGAGACUAUACAUGUGACAGACUUUUGAGAAUAUGAAGUGAGACAAAUGGUGUCUCCUUUUGCUGGCAGAUUUCCAGUUCUCUCUGCAUUGCUUCUCUCCUCAGGAAAUAAGGCACUGAAUAAGGAUCUCUCUUCUUUGGAUCUUGGCUCCUCUUUCACUUGGCUCCUGGAGUGA
Long non-coding RNA from Motacilla alba alba, 335 nucleotides. RefSeq lists it as uncharacterized. Lineage: Eukaryota; Metazoa; Chordata; Aves; Passeriformes; Motacillidae. The transcript is spliced from 3 exons. The record is from RefSeq and is a predicted model, not a curated record.